UGACUACGCUGCUUGCCAUGCAGUCGAGCGGAAGGCCCUUCGGGGUACUCGAGCGGCGAACGGGUGAGUAACACGUGAGCAACCUGCCCCUGACUCUGGGAUAAGCCCGGGAAACUGGGUCUAAUACCGGAUAUGACCACCGUCCGCAUGGUCUGGUGGUGGAAAGUUUUUCGGUUGGGGAUGGGCUCGCGGCCUAUCAGCUUGUUGGUGGGGUAGUGGCCUACCAAGGCGACGACGGGUAGCCGGCCUGAGAGGGCGACCGGCCACACUGGGACUGAGACACGGCCCAGACUCCUACGGGAGGCAGCAGUGGGGAAUAUUGCGCAAUGGGCGGAAGCCUGACGCAGCGACGCCGCGUGGGGGAUGACGGCCUUCGGGUUGUAAACCUCUUUCAGCAGGGACGAAGUUGACGUGUACCUGCAGAAGAAGCGCCGGCUAACUACGUGCCAGCAGCCGCGGUAAUACGUAGGGCGCAAGCGUUGUCCGGAAUUAUUGGGCGUAAAGAGCUCGUAGGUGGCUGGUCGCGUCUGCCGUGAAAGCCCGCAGCUUAACUGCGGGUCUGCGGUGGAUACGGGCCGGCUAGAGGUAGGCAGGGGCAAGUGGAAUUCCUGGUGUAGCGGUGAAAUGCGCAGAUAUCAGGAGGAACACCGGUGGCGAAGGCGGCUUGCUGGGCCUUACCUGACGCUGAGGAGCGAAAGCGUGGGGAGCGAACAGGAUUAGAUACCCUGGUAGUCCACGCUGUAAACGUUGGGCGCUAGGUGUGGGGGUCUUCCACGACUUCCGUGCCGGAGCUAACGCAUUAAGCGCCCCGCCUGGGGAGUACGGCCGCAAGGCUAAAACUCAAAGGAAUUGACGGGGGCCCGCACAAGCGGCGGAGCAUGUUGCUUAAUUCGACGCAACGCGAAGAACCUUACCAAGGUUUGACAUCACCCGGAAAGCUGCAGAGAUGUGGCCCUCUUCGGACUGGGUGACAGGUGGUGCAUGGCUGUCGUCAGCUCGUGUCGUGAGAUGUUGGGUUAAGUCCCGCAACGAGCGCAACCCUUGCUCCAUGUUGCCAGCAGCGGAUUCGUCCGGCUGGGGACUCAUGGGGGACUGCCGGGGUCAACUCGGAGGAAGGUGGGGAUGACGUCAAGUCAUCAUGCCCCUUAUGUCUUGGGCUGCAAACAUGCUACAAUGGCCGGUACAGAGGGUUGCGAUACCGUGAGGUGGAGCGAAUCCCUAAAAGCCGGUCUCAGUUCGGAUUGGGGUCUGCAACUCGACCCCAUGAAGUCGGAGUCGCUAGUAAUCGCAGAUCAGCAAUGCUGCGGUGAAUACGUUCCCGGGCCUUGUACACACCGCCCGUCACGUCACGAAAGUCGGCAACACCCGAAGCCCGUGGCCCAACCCGUAACCGGUGACGCGCGAGAGAUGACCUAGUA
This 1418-nucleotide ribosomal RNA is filed under the name Nonomuraea maritima. Its description in RNAcentral is "bacterial SSU rRNA". It matches the Rfam family "Bacterial small subunit ribosomal RNA". The record is from RNAcentral. Lineage: Bacteria; Bacillati; Actinomycetota; Actinomycetes; Streptosporangiales; Streptosporangiaceae.